Molecule: ribosomal RNA, 481 nt
Filed under: uncultured bacterium
Lineage: Bacteria
Description: partial 16S ribosomal RNA
Rfam family: Bacterial small subunit ribosomal RNA
Source: RNAcentral
GACGAACGCUGGCGGCGUGCUUAACACAUGCAAGUCGAACGCUGAAGCUCAGCUUGCUGGGUGGAUGAGUGGCGAACGGGUGAGUAACACGUGAGUAACCUGCCCCCUUCUUUGGGAUAACGCCCGGAAACGGGUGCUAAUACUGGAUAUUCACUGAUCUUCGCAUGGGGGUUGGUGGAAAGGUUUUUUCUGGUGGGGGAUGGGCUCGCGGCCUAUCAGCUUGUUGGUGGGGUGAUGGCCUACCAAGGCUUUGACGGGUAGCCGGCCUGAGAGGGUGACCGGUCACAUUGGGACUGAGAUACGGCCCAGACUCCUACGGGAGGCAGCAGUGGGGAAUAUUGCACAAUGGGCGAAAGCCUGAUGCAGCGACGCCGCGUGAGGGAUGGAGGCCGUCGGGUUGUAAACCUCUUUCGCUCAUGGUCAAGCCGCAACAUUGGUUGUGGUGAGGGUAGUGGGUAAAGAAGCGCCGGCUAACUACGUG